UGCAAAUUUGAUUGAUAUCGGUUCGGUAGUUUAGGAGUCCAUAGCGGACAAACAACGUGACACGUAAUUUAUAUAUAUUAAGAUUAAGAAGAUAUAUAUAAUAUAUAGACCGUGUUUAAUAAAUCUGUGGAACUGCAUCUAAAAAAAAUCUAAUAUGAUCGCAUUACGAGAUAUUAUAAAUUUAUUAGUUAAUCCAACGAAAUUGAAAGUUACUUGUUUUAUGUGUUUUAAAGAAAGUAAUGACUUGUUAAAUAUUUAUGAAAAUAGUAUAUAUACAGCAAGCCCAAGUCGAUCAAUUAGGCUAGCAAGUGUAAUUAAAGAAAUUUUCCCAAUUCAAGAAAUAUUUCUCCAACAUGCUUGUCAACAAUGCCUUGACUUUAUCCUUAACAUUUACACUCAUUUAA
Pieris napi is the source of this 404-nucleotide long non-coding RNA. RefSeq lists it as uncharacterized. The record is from RefSeq and is a predicted model, not a curated record. The transcript is spliced from 2 exons. Lineage: Eukaryota; Metazoa; Arthropoda; Insecta; Lepidoptera; Pieridae.